AUCUAGCCGACGAGUCCCAAAUAGGACGAAAUGCGCAUCCUGGAU
RNAcentral lists this non-coding RNA (45 nucleotides) under Trichobilharzia regenti. Lineage: Eukaryota; Metazoa; Platyhelminthes; Trematoda; Strigeidida; Schistosomatidae. The record is from RNAcentral.